UACGUAGGGGGCGAGCGUUGUCCGGAAUCAUUGGGCGUAAAGAGCGUGUAGGCGGCUUGGCGAGUCUGACGUGAAAGCCCGCGGCUCAACCGCGGAUUGUCGUUGGAAACUGCCUCGCUAGAGUCCGGAAGAGGAGAGCGGAAUUCCUGGUGUAGCGGUGGAAUGCGCAGAUAUCAGGAAGAACACCCGUGGCGAAGGCGGCUCUCUGGGACGGUACUGACGCUGAGACGCGAAAGCGUGGGGAGCGAACAGG
RNAcentral lists this ribosomal RNA (253 nucleotides) under uncultured bacterium. RNAcentral describes it as "partial 16S ribosomal RNA". It matches the Rfam family "Bacterial small subunit ribosomal RNA", at positions 524 to 776 of the family's 1533-position model. The record is from RNAcentral.